RNAcentral lists this transfer RNA (73 nucleotides) under Operophtera brumata (winter moth). It matches the Rfam family "tRNA". Rfam says of the family: Transfer RNA (tRNA) molecules are approximately 80 nucleotides in length. Their secondary structure includes four short double-helical elements and three loops (D, anti-codon, and T loops). Lineage: Eukaryota; Metazoa; Arthropoda; Insecta; Lepidoptera; Geometridae. The record is from Rfam by way of RNAcentral.
CGAUCCAUGGCCAAAUUGGUCAAGGCAUUGCUGAUUAAAAACGAAGAUGUGGGUUCGAGUCCCACUUGAUUGC